GGGUCCAUUAAUUGGGGGUGGAGAGGGCGGGUGGGGGGUAGGGGGGGUCACAUCACAUCUGGACCACCCUGUACAACAGUCUGUGGCUCCCUCACAGGAGAGGCGCAGUGGCAACACAUCUCACGACAAUCCGACGUGGUGGCGAGCAGAGCUCGACGUUGUCAUUUGGCGCCUCAACACAUUGCUGCCAUCAUGCCCGAGGAGAAGAGAAUACAAUCAUAAAGUCUCACGAGAUCGUGGCCUUUGAGUGCGAUUCCAAGCACGUGCUUGUCCACGCUUAUUCGGAUACUUUUCAACUUGAGGGCAGAUGUGGAAACGUGAAGCAUCUCUUACUCGCGAAGCGCACGAUCAUCACCAUGGUGCCGAGGAGGAAGAACGUCGAGACGAAUGUCACGACGACCAUCAUGGUUAUGUAGAGAGCGCGUGACGGCGGCUCGGAGGCGAGGAACACCGAGGCCACGUUCGAGAUGUUCGCCCAGUUGUCCACCUUGUCGAUGGCUCUGACGGAGAAGUAGCGCACGUUGCCGGCCACGAGCUGGCCCACCGUGACUUUGAAUGCCUCGAGGUCGCCCGCCAUUGCCGGUGCGCUCAGGUUUCCUCGGGUGACGUUUUCGUUCGGCACAAGGCUACUCUCGGUGGCCUCCAGCAAGGCAUCCAGGCUGUCGCUCGUUAUUAUCUCGUAGCGCAACGCUGAAAACGGUAGGCGGAGGAUACACCUUGAAUUAGCAUUGAUUGGUCUUGUUUCACACGUGGACUUUCUAAACAGCAAAGCAAUUUCCUAAAGCUUUAUUUAUACUAGAGGAAUCCGAUGAGCUAUAAAGCUCUAUUUUUUACAAAUGUCCAAAAGGGGCAGGUGAGAAUGUUACCGAAGCCGAGAGGAUGUAGACAUGUGGUACAACAUUUGGUACUUUAUCAGUGAAUCAAUGGGCAUGUAGCAAUGAAAUGACUCAUCAAAAAUAAACUCUCUCACACAA
Molecule: non-coding RNA, 974 nt
Organism: Petromyzon marinus (sea lamprey)
Lineage: Eukaryota; Metazoa; Chordata; Hyperoartia; Petromyzontiformes; Petromyzontidae
Source: RefSeq, a predicted model, not a curated record